This is a long non-coding RNA of Wyeomyia smithii (pitcher-plant mosquito), 322 nucleotides long. RefSeq lists it as uncharacterized. The record is from RefSeq and is a predicted model, not a curated record. NCBI's taxonomy places the organism in Eukaryota, Metazoa, Arthropoda, Insecta, Diptera, Culicidae. The transcript has 3 exons.
GGGCAGCUUUCAGGUAUUGAUGUCAGAAAUAGUUCGAGAAGUUUCCUACCGGCUCUGCAGCAACCGGAGGUCUACGGGAUACGGGAGAAGAUUUAAACGAUAAGUUUCAACUUAAUCUAGUAACUUUUCUAUUCGAUUCAAUAUUUGCUUUUGUUUUCAUUUUUCUCUUUUCAGGUACGCGGUUUCAGAUCAGCAGCUGAGAAAAUACCAAGGGAUUUUCCUACUUCAUCGGUGAGCUCGUAUGAACUUGUUCCCACUCUCGCCCGGAUUAUACACGGAACGUAGUAUGGACCCAGUUUGGCAUUGUAUUUCGCCGGGGCCG